GGGGGGGGGCCGUACGCGCCUGGCACAUCGCGCUGACCCCCGGACCAUCUGCUGUGCCCCGACCAUCGAGACCCCGGACAUUCUUCAGAGCUCGCGCGACGUCCAACGCCGCGUUCGAGCCGAACCGCGUGUCCUCGUUCUUUAGCUGUGGCUCUGCAGAAAUCAUUCCCCUGAUCUGUCGUGCCUCAAUAAAACGAACACUGAGCGCGGCCGUUGCCCACUCGACGUGGCCGAAGUCGACUCCGACGAAGGCGGGCACGCGUCCGCGCGCCGUGCCCCGACUCCCUCUCAUGCCUGAGCUGGACCGCGCCGACGAGCCUCCUGGCUCCGGAGCCUGUGUGCGUGCGAGCGAACCUGCGACACGCUCUUCGCGAUGUGUACUCCUCCGGAACCUCGAACCGCGCAAGGUGCGCUGAGUUACUCGCUGCCACUUCGAACCCAGCCACCACCCUGCACACGCCAAUCCGAAGAUCCUCGUCAGCCAACUGUGGUGUAGUGAUAGAGAUGCUUAGCAGGCAGACACGAGCGGGGGAACAGUCGAGCCGGGCUGUGUUGCACAAGCGCGAGCGCGGGCGUACUUUGCCCGCGGCUCUCCUUUAUUACGUACUCAGCACACUCACAAGCCGGGCGACUACGGCAUCACUACAACGCCUCAGGCGGCGCUCACUCCUUAUAUUCCUGGCAGACACGACGCUCACGCCGACCACUCCUCCCAUCAUCAUUCCCCGCCCUGCAUGCCCGCAGGCUAUACCACAGAUUCUACAACAAAAAGUAACUUAAUCAUGUUCAAUACUGAAUCGUGGAAACGAUUUGUCGAUUUCGCCUGCAAAUGGGUGAAUUACGAUUGUAAAGAGAGUAAUAUAGUUACUGAGAUUGCAACAAAUCUUGGUACUGAUUUUCACGAUACUGCGACAUGCAUUGUGGCUCGGCCCUCGUUGUCGAGUAACCUUGGCAACCACUACAAUUGCUACAAGCGCUUCUGUGACAUCAGUAAAAACAGAAGAAAAGAGAAGUCAUUUGCAAAGAAAUCGACUUCUCAAGGACGAGAUAAUAUUAAUAAACCAAGAUGGCAGACACCAGUCCUUUUUCACUGGAAGAGAGGCUGGCAGCAAUGGUGUGGUACCACGAGAGGAGAAACACGGAUGCACUCGGUUUAA
This 1157-nucleotide long non-coding RNA is filed under the name Eptatretus burgeri (inshore hagfish). Its description in RNAcentral is "lncRNA (ENSEBUG00000017345.1)". The record is from RNAcentral. Lineage: Eukaryota; Metazoa; Chordata; Myxini; Myxiniformes; Myxinidae.